RNAcentral lists this ribosomal RNA (253 nucleotides) under uncultured bacterium. Its description in RNAcentral is "partial 16S ribosomal RNA". It matches the Rfam family "Bacterial small subunit ribosomal RNA", at positions 524 to 776 of the family's 1533-position model. The record is from RNAcentral.
UACGUAGGGGGCAAGCGUUGUCCGGAAUCAUUGGGCGUAAAGAGCGCGUAGGCGGUCCGGUAAGUCCGCUCUGAAAGUCCGGGGCUCAACCCCGGGAGGCGGGCGGAUACUGGCGGGCUAGAGUCCGGAAGAGGCGAGUGGAAUUCCUGGUGUAGCGGUGAAAUGCGCAGAUAUCAGGAGGAACACCGGUGGCGAAGGCGGGUCUCUGGGCCGUAACUGACGCUGAGGAGCGAAAGCGUGGGGAGCGAACAGG